AGUAACGGCGAGUGAAGCGGCAACAGCUCAAAUUUGAAAUCUGGCUUCGGCCCGAAUUGUAAUUUGUAGAGGAUGCUUUUGGUGCGGUGCCUUCUGAGUUCCCUGGAACGGGACGCCACAGAGGGUGAGAGCCCCGUAUAGUUGGACACCAAGCCUCUGUAAAGCUCCUUCGACGAGUCGAGUUGUUUGGGA
RNAcentral lists this ribosomal RNA (192 nucleotides) under Riomyces rotundus. RNAcentral describes it as "partial large subunit ribosomal RNA". It matches the Rfam family "Eukaryotic large subunit ribosomal RNA", at positions 82 to 279 of the family's 3401-position model. Lineage: Eukaryota; Fungi; Ascomycota; Sordariomycetes; Conlariaceae. The record is from RNAcentral.